UUUCGCCUUAGGGUUUGCGAUCACCUUCGCAUGACAAAUUCCCAUGGAUGUGAAACCCUAGGGCAGCAGUCGAAGAGGGGAAAAGAGGAGAAAAAUCAAUCACUGAGAAGGAGAUUCAUCCAUGGGAGAGAAAUCUCUAAGGUAAUCCCAACAAGAAUCACUACACGACAAGCAAAAUGGGAGCAGAAAUCAAGGCAAAGAACAAGCAAAGAGGGAAACCAGAACAAGUUUCUGAGGCCCAGGUGAGACACAGAACAUAAAAACAAAAUGCUAUAUUUUACAUUGCAACUUACAAAGUUUAAUACUCAAAAUUUUAAUGUUUCUGUCUCUUACCUUUAUAAAUUAUUACACUUUGGACCUAUCAAACCUAAGGUAUGGUAGGUUGUUUAAGACAAAAGUGGAGUUGUAAAGUCCAGAUAGUUAUGAAGUUUGAGAAGUUAUAGAGUCCCGAUGUCCAUAUUAUAAAGACUUAAUAAAGCAUAAAAUUGAAGUGUUUUA
Molecule: long non-coding RNA, 498 nt
Organism: Benincasa hispida (wax gourd)
Lineage: Eukaryota; Viridiplantae; Streptophyta; Magnoliopsida; Cucurbitales; Cucurbitaceae
Source: RefSeq, a predicted model, not a curated record